UACCACAGUCAUAUCACCCUGCAGCCCAAGACUGGUUGCCCACUAAAGCUAAAGCAGGGUUGAGCCUGGUCAGUACCUGGAUGGGAGACCUCUUGAGAUGGUCCUCACUGCAGAAC
Ribosomal RNA from Sinocyclocheilus anshuiensis, 116 nucleotides. Lineage: Eukaryota; Metazoa; Chordata; Actinopteri; Cypriniformes; Cyprinidae. The record is from Ensembl.